UCCUCCUUAGCUCAGUUGGUAGAGCGUUCGGCUGUUAACCGAAAUGUCGCUGGUUCGAGUCCAGCAGGGGGAGCCA
Molecule: transfer RNA, 76 nt
Filed under: Oscillospiraceae bacterium
Lineage: Bacteria; Bacillati; Bacillota; Clostridia; Eubacteriales; Oscillospiraceae
Description: tRNA-Asn
Rfam family: tRNA
About the family: Transfer RNA (tRNA) molecules are approximately 80 nucleotides in length. Their secondary structure includes four short double-helical elements and three loops (D, anti-codon, and T loops).
Source: RNAcentral